RNAcentral lists this ribosomal RNA (508 nucleotides) under uncultured bacterium. RNAcentral describes it as "partial 16S ribosomal RNA". It matches the Rfam family "Bacterial small subunit ribosomal RNA", at positions 29 to 523 of the family's 1533-position model. The record is from RNAcentral.
AUUGAACGCUGGCGGCAUGCCUUACACAUGCAAGUCGAACGGCAGCGGGGGAGAAGCUUGCUUUUCCUGCCGGCGAGUGGCGAACGGGUGAGUAAUACAUCGGAACGUGCCCUGUAGUGGGGGAUAACUAGUCGAAAGAUUAGCUAAUACCGCAUACGACCUGAGGGUGAAAGUGGGGGACCGCAAGGCCUCAUGCUAUAGGAGCGGCCGAUGUCUGAUUAGCUAGUUGGUGGGGUAAAGGCCUACCAAGGCGACGAUCAGUAGCUGGUCUGAGAGGACGAGCAGCCACACUGGGACGGAGACACGGCCCAGACUCCUACGGGAGGCAGCAGUUGGGAAUUGUGGACAAUGGGCGAAAGCCUGAUCCAGCAAUGCCGCGUGUGUGAAGAAGGCCGUCGGGUUGUAAAGCACUUUUGUCCGGAAAGGAAUGGCUCUGGUUAAUACCUGGGGUCGAUGACGGUACCGGAAGAAUAAGGACCGGCUAACUACGUGCCAGCCGCCGCGGUAA